Polistes canadensis is the source of this 791-nucleotide long non-coding RNA. RefSeq lists it as uncharacterized. The record is from RefSeq and is a predicted model, not a curated record. NCBI's taxonomy places the organism in Eukaryota, Metazoa, Arthropoda, Insecta, Hymenoptera, Vespidae. The transcript has 3 exons.
GAAGAAAAGAGAUGGAAGAGGUGGAACAAGAGUAAGAGGGAAAAAGAGGGAUGAAUGAGGAUAAGGGGAGUUAGAGGAAAGGGUACGAGUUAAAUAUCUCUCUCGAGCGAAUAGAAGGAGAAAGGAGGAAUCGGUCGGCACAUGGGUCUCUCACUUCGGGUCGAUACUCUAGCACUGGAGUGAACGCUCAGUACACUUGCACUCGGCCGAGUACGUUUGCACCGGGAAUUGCCUGCCUGCCUGCCAGCCUGCUUGCUUGCCUGGCCGCUAGCCCUGGCCGCUGCUCUUGUGCGUAACACUAGAGCGAAUUCUCAUUGGUGACAGGGGGUGAAGAGAGGACGGAUCACACUUCAGGUAGAUUAUAAUUUAUAUAUAUAUAUAUAUAUAUAUAUUUUAAAAGCCGAGUGAAUAUCGAAGGCUAAUGGCCCCCUGUUACUACGUGGAAGAGGAGAGAAGAAAAAAGAGAAUAAAGAAAGAAAAAGAAUAAAAUACUUUCGUCUAUAGCUGUAGAAGCAUCUUGAAGAAUUUUAUCUCCAAGUGGAAAGAAGAGUCCCAGCAGCACCUUUCAGAAGAAACAUAUGUCUACUGUUGUGUAUAUAUGUACUUUACAUUGUACAUACAUAUAUAUAUAUGUAUACUCUAUUUUACGCGAGCAAAGGUAUAUAUUGCACCUACGUGGAUAAAAAAAGAUAACAUACGUGGCAACCUUUGUCUACUGUCAAAGCAUAUCGAUUGCAAGUUGUAUCCCAUGGAAGCCCUUUACAACGCCGACAUCAACAACUACAUCACUU